AUCGCUUCUCGGCCUUUUGGCUAAGAUCAAGUGAAGUAUUGGAUAUUAAUUUUGGACUGCAGGUUAAUAGAGCUAUAUCUUUUAAGCAGUAAUAACUAUUUUAAAGCUUCUCCUUUUUGAAUAUGGAAAAAUACAU
Small nuclear RNA from Heterocephalus glaber (naked mole-rat), 136 nucleotides. Its record names the gene U2. It matches the Rfam family "U2 spliceosomal RNA". From Rfam's summary of the family: U2 is a small nuclear RNA (snRNA) component of the spliceosome (involved in pre-mRNA splicing). Complementary binding between U2 snRNA (in an area lying towards the 5' end but 3' to hairpin I) and the branchpoint sequence (BPS) of the intron results the bulging out of an unpaired adenosine, on the BPS, which initiates a nucleophilic attack at the intronic 5' splice site, thus starting the first of two transesterification reactions that mediate splicing. NCBI's taxonomy places the organism in Eukaryota, Metazoa, Chordata, Mammalia, Rodentia, Bathyergidae. The record is from Ensembl.